GCUGGGUGGAUUAGUGGCGAACGGGUGAGUAACACGUGAGUAACCUGCCCCCGACUUUGGGAUAAGCCCGGGAAACUGGGUCUAAUACCGGAUAUGACUUCCUGCCGCAUGGUGGGUUGUUGAAAGAUUUAUCGGUGGGGGAUGGACUCGCGGCCUAUCAGCUUGUUGGUGAGGUAAUGGCUCACCAAGGCGACGACGGGUAGCCGGCCUGAGAGGGUGACCGGCCACACUGGGACUGAGACACGGCCCAGACUCCUACGGGAGGCAGCAGUGGGGAAUAUUGCACAAUGGGCGGAAGCCUGAUGCAGCGACGCCGCGUGAGGGAUGACGGCCUUCGGGUUGUAAACCUCUUUCAGUAGGGAAGAAGCGAAAGUGACGGUACCUGCAGAAGAAGCGCCGGCUAACUACGUGCCAGCAGCCGCGGUAAUACGUAGGGCGCAAGCGUUAUCCGGAUUUAUUGGGCGUAAAGAGCUCGUAGGCGGUUUGUCGCGUCUGCCGUGAAAGUCCGAGGCUCAACCUCGGAUCUGCGGUGGGUACGGGCAGACUAGAGUGAUGUAGGGGAGACUGGAAUUCCUGGUGUAGCGGUGAAAUGCGCAGAUAUCAGGAGGAACACCGAUGGCGAAGGCAGGUCUCUGGGCAUUUACUGACGCUGAGGAGCGAAAGCAUGGGGA
This 671-nucleotide ribosomal RNA is filed under the name Glutamicibacter arilaitensis. RNAcentral describes it as "bacterial SSU rRNA". It matches the Rfam family "Bacterial small subunit ribosomal RNA", at positions 82 to 767 of the family's 1533-position model. The record is from RNAcentral. Lineage: Bacteria; Bacillati; Actinomycetota; Actinomycetes; Micrococcales; Micrococcaceae.